RNAcentral lists this ribosomal RNA (253 nucleotides) under uncultured bacterium. Its description in RNAcentral is "partial 16S ribosomal RNA". It matches the Rfam family "Bacterial small subunit ribosomal RNA", at positions 524 to 776 of the family's 1533-position model. The record is from RNAcentral.
UACGGAGGAUGCGAGCGUUAUCCGGAUUUAUUGGGUUUAAAGGGUGCGUAGGCGGCCUGUUAAGUCAGCGGUGAAAUCUAGGAGCUUAACUCCUAAAUUGCCAUUGAAACUGGCGGGCUUGAGUGUAGAUGAGGUAGGCGGAAUGCGUGGUGUAGCGGUGGAAUGCAUAGAUAUCACGCAGAACUCCAAUUGCGAAGGCAGCUUACUAAGGUACAACUGACGCUGAAGCACGAAAGCGUGGGUAUCAAACAGG